RNAcentral lists this small nuclear RNA (114 nucleotides) under Gadus morhua (Atlantic cod). Its description in RNAcentral is "U5 spliceosomal RNA (ENSGMOG00000033957.1)". It matches the Rfam family "U5 spliceosomal RNA". From Rfam's summary of the family: U5 RNA is a component of both types of known spliceosome. The precise function of this molecule is unknown, though it is known that the 5' loop is required for splice site selection and p220 binding, and that both the 3' stem-loop and the Sm site are important for Sm protein binding and cap methylation. Lineage: Eukaryota; Metazoa; Chordata; Actinopteri; Gadiformes; Gadidae. The record is from RNAcentral.
ACACUCUUGGUUCUCUUCAGAUCGCAUAAAUCUUUCGCCUUUUACUAAAGAUUUCCGUGGGGAGGACCAUUAUGAGUAUCAACAAAUUUUUGAUGCCCUGCUUUAUUGCGGGGC